This is a long non-coding RNA of Ochotona curzoniae (black-lipped pika), 1010 nucleotides long. RefSeq lists it as uncharacterized. NCBI's taxonomy places the organism in Eukaryota, Metazoa, Chordata, Mammalia, Lagomorpha, Ochotonidae. The transcript has 3 exons. The record is from RefSeq and is a predicted model, not a curated record.
CCCGGGAAAGCUCGCACGGGGCCCGGGAGCGAACCCACAGACAAAAAGUGAAACUUCGACAGGGCUGGAGCGACUGCUGAUUACCCAUUUGGCUGCAGCUUAUGACUUGAACCACUGAGAAGGCUCAGGAUUUCCUUCCUUUCAGCAGAGCAAACUGUUCAGAGACCAUGUAAUUGUCAGCAGUCAAAAAGGAGAUUGAAUUUCUGAAGACUUCAUUGGUCCAACAAUGGCAUGGGCAUGGCACAGGCCUGAAAACUUCCCAAGGAGAAAUUUCAUGGGUCAUUUCCUGGUGACAUGUGACAAACUGGAAUCCUAAAAGGAACUUUGAACAUUAGAGACCAAGUGAGUACACAGGCUGAUAAGGUUAGUAAUAAUAGAUGAAAAAUUCACUUAUUUUCCCUUUCUUUCUGACUUCUUUGUAUUUUGGUUUCUCAAUUGCAUCCUUCAUAAGCUAUACUUAUAUAAAUUCUAGGGAGUUGGAAAACCAAGUGUAAUAUCUUCAAGUAAAAAUGUACAUGACAACAGUGGGUAUGUUUACAAAGAUGGACAUGAUAGUCUCUCACCCACCCCUCUAUGCACCUUUGCAACACAAUUUUGUUAUUCCUCUUAACAAAAAGAGGCAUCCACUUAUGGACUCUGUGAAUCUAGGCUACUUUCGAAACUUGCUUCAAACCAGUAGAAGAACAUGGCAUGUGAGGUUUUAGCCACUUGUGAGCCUCAGGAAGCAGCUUCUGCUCUUAACUUGUAAAAAAGCCUGAGCUAACUGGCUGCAUGCUGGCGACACAUGGCUGAGCUAACAGUCAUUACCAAUGUGCUCCAAGUGGACUGCCCAGUUGUUUGAAUUUACGUGGGUAUACCACGGCCAGUUCAUCACAAUAGCUACCCAGAUGCACUCAGACCAAGGGAAUUGUGAGCUAAUCAAUGACUACUUUAAGUUAUUGAAUCUUUGGACUGGAUUUUUAUGUAACUAAGACUAACCACUUUACCUAAUGCUUGCCAUUGAAAGAAAA